UCGUCGGCUCGUGUCGUGAGAUGUGGUAAGUCCGCAACGAGCGCAACCCCUAUUGUUAGUUGCCAUCAUUCAGUUGGGCACUCUAGCGAGACUGCCGGUAAUAAACCGGAGGAAGGUGGGGAUGACGUCAAAUCAUCAUGCCCCUUAUGACCUGGGCUACACACGUGCUACAAUGGUUGGUACAACGAGUUGCGAGUCGGUGACGGCGAGCUAAUCUCUUAAAGCCAAUCUCAGUUCGGAUUGUAGGCUGCAACUCGCCUACAUGAAGUCGGAAUCGCUAGUAAUCGCGGAUCAGCACGCCGCGGUGAAUACGUUCCCGGGCCUU
Molecule: ribosomal RNA, 325 nt
Filed under: uncultured Streptococcus sp.
Lineage: Bacteria; Bacillati; Bacillota; Bacilli; Lactobacillales; Streptococcaceae
Description: bacterial SSU rRNA
Rfam family: Bacterial small subunit ribosomal RNA
Source: RNAcentral